Molecule: ribosomal RNA, 463 nt
Filed under: uncultured bacterium
Lineage: Bacteria
Description: partial 16S ribosomal RNA
Rfam family: Bacterial small subunit ribosomal RNA
Source: RNAcentral
GACGAACGCUGGCGGCGUGCUUAACACAUGCAAGUCGAACGGAAAGGCCUUUUCGGAGGUACUCGAGUGGCGCACGGGUGAGUAACACGUGGGUGAUCUGCCCUGCACUCUGGGAUAAGCCUGGGAAACUGGGUCUAAUACCGGAUAGGACCGCACUUUAGUGUUUGUGGUGGAAAGUUUUUUCGGUGUAGGAUGAGCCCGCGGCCUAUCAGCUUGUUGGUGGGGUAAUGGCCUACCAAGGCGGCGACGGGUAGCCGGACUGAGAGGUUGGUCGGCCACAUUGGGACUGAGAUACGGCCCAGACUCCUACGGGAGGCAGCAGUGGGGAAUAUUGCACAAUGGGCGCAAGCCUGAUGCAGCGACGCCGCGUGGGGGAUGACGGCCUUCGGGUUGUAAACUCCUUUCGCCAGGGACGAAGCGUUUUGUGACGGUACCUGGAGAAGAAGCACCGGCUAACUACGUG